AAUUUACUUUUAUUAGAAAA
This 20-nucleotide transfer RNA is filed under the name Scaptodrosophila pattersoni. RNAcentral describes it as "partial tRNA-Leu". The record is from RNAcentral. Lineage: Eukaryota; Metazoa; Arthropoda; Insecta; Diptera; Drosophilidae.